RNAcentral lists this ribosomal RNA (1687 nucleotides) under Vibrio parahaemolyticus. RNAcentral's name for it is "partial 23S ribosomal RNA". It matches the Rfam family "Bacterial large subunit ribosomal RNA", at positions 1278 to 2925 of the family's 2925-position model. The record is from RNAcentral. Lineage: Bacteria; Pseudomonadati; Pseudomonadota; Gammaproteobacteria; Vibrionales; Vibrionaceae.
CGUAUCAGAAGUGCGAAUGCUGACAUGAGUAACGAUAAAGGGGGUGAAAAACCUCCUCGCCGGAAGACCAAGGGUUCCUGUCCAACGUUAAUCGGGGCAGGGUAAGUCGACCCCUAAGGCGAGGCCGAAAGGCGUAGUCGAUGGGAAACGGGUUAAUAUUCCCGUACUUCUUACAAUUGCGAUGGGGGGACGGAGAAGGCUAGGUGGGCCUGGCGACGGUUGUCCAGGUUCAAGUGCGUAGGCUUAAGAGUUAGGUAAAUCCGGCUCUUUCUAAGGCUGAGACACGACGUCGAGCACCUACGGGUGUGAAGUCAUUGAUGCCAUGCUUCCAGGAAAAGCCUCUAAGCUUCAGAUUGUAAGGAAUCGUACCCCAAACCGACACAGGUGGUCGGGUAGAGAAUACCAAGGCGCUUGAGAGAACUCGGGUGAAGGAACUAGGCAAAAUGGUACCGUAACUUCGGGAGAAGGUACGCUCUCGACGGUGAAGUCCCUCGCGGAUGGAGCUAUUGAGAGUCGCAGAUACCAGGUGGCUGCAACUGUUUAUUAAAAACACAGCACUGUGCAAAAUCGUAAGAUGACGUAUACGGUGUGACGCCUGCCCGGUGCCGGAAGGUUAAUUGAUGGGGUUAGACUUCGGUCGAAGCUCUUGAUCGAAGCCCCGGUAAACGGCGGCCGUAACUAUAACGGUCCUAAGGUAGCGAAAUUCCUUGUCGGGUAAGUUCCGACCUGCACGAAUGGCGUAAUGAUGGCCACGCUGUCUCCACCCGAGACUCAGUGAAAUUGAAAUCGCUGUGAAGAUGCAGUGUACCCGCGGCUAGACGGAAAGACCCCGUGAACCUUUACUACAGCUUGGCACUGAACAUUGACCCUACAUGUGUAGGAUAGGUGGGAGGCUUUGAAGCACGUACGCCAGUAUGUGUGGAGCCGUCCUUGAAAUACCACCCUUGUAGUGUUGAUGUUCUAACGUCGACCCCUUAUCGGGGUUGCGGACAGUGCCUGGUGGGUAGUUUGACUGGGGCGGUCUCCUCCCAAAGAGUAACGGAGGAGCACGAAGGUGGGCUAAUCACGGUUGGACAUCGUGAGGUUAGUGCAAUGGCAUAAGCCCGCUUGACUGCGAGAAUGACAAUUCGAGCAGGUGCGAAAGCAGGUCAUAGUGAUCCGGUGGUUCUGAAUGGAAGGGCCAUCGCUCAACGGAUAAAAGGUACUCCGGGGAUAACAGGCUGAUACCGCCCAAGAGUUCAUAUCGACGGCGGUGUUUGGCACCUCGAUGUCGGCUCAUCACAUCCUGGGGCUGAAGUCGGUCCCAAGGGUAUGGCUGUUCGCCAUUUAAAGUGGUACGCGAGCUGGGUUUAGAACGUCGUGAGACAGUUCGGUCCCUAUCUGCCGUGGGCGUUGGAAGAUUGAAGGGGGCUGCUCCUAGUACGAGAGGACCGGAGUGGACGAACCUCUGGUGUUCGGGUUGUGUCGCCAGACGCAUUGCCCGGUAGCUAAGUUCGGAAUCGAUAACCGCUGAAAGCAUCUAAGCGGGAAGCGAGCCCUGAGAUGAGUCUUCCCUGAUACUUUAAGUAUCCUAAAGGGUUGUCGGAGACUACGACGUUGAUAGGUCAGGUGUGUAAGUGCUGUGAGGCAUUGAGCUAACUGAUACUAAUUGCCCGUGAGGCUUAACCAUACAACACCCAAGGGGUUU